GUGAGGAAUAUUGCGCAAUGGAGGCAACUCUGACGCAGCCAUGCCGCGUGCAGGAAGAAGGCGCUACGCGUUGUAAACUGCUUUUAACCGGGAAGAAACCCCAGGACGUGUCCUGGGUUGACGGUACCGGAGGAAUAAGCACCGGCUAACUUCGUGCCAGCAGCCGCGGUAAUACGAAGGGUGCAAGCGUUAUCCGGAUUCAUUGGGUUUAAAGGGUGCGUAGGCGGAGCGUUAAGUCAGUGGUGAAAUCCUGCAGCUUAACUGUAGACUUGCCAUUGAUACUGGCGCUCUUGAGUGCGCUUGAAGUGGGCGGAAUGUGCCGUGUAGCGGUGAAAUGCUUAGAUAUGGCACAGAACACCAAUUGCGAAGGCAGCUAACUAAGGCGAUACUGACGCUGAGGCACGAAAGCGUGGGGAUCGAACAGGAUUAGAUACCCUGGUAGUCC
This 445-nucleotide ribosomal RNA is filed under the name uncultured bacterium. RNAcentral's name for it is "partial 16S ribosomal RNA". It matches the Rfam family "Bacterial small subunit ribosomal RNA", at positions 354 to 796 of the family's 1533-position model. The record is from RNAcentral.